GACGAACGCUGGCGGCGUGCUUAACACAUGCAAGUCGAACGGAAAGGCCCUGCUUUUGUGGGGUGCUCGAGUGGCGAACGGGUGAGUAACACGUGAGUAACCUGCCCUUGACUUUGGGAUAACUUCAGGAAACUGGGGCUAAUACCGGAUAGGAGCUCCUGCUGCAUGGUGGGGGUUGGAAAGUUUCGGCGGUUGGGGAUGGACUCGCGGCUUAUCAGCUUGUUGGUGGGGUAGUGGCUUACCAAGGCUUUGACGGGUAGCCGGCCUGAGAGGGUGACCGGCCACAUUGGGACUGAGGUACGGCCCAGACUCGUACGGGAGACAGCAGUGGGGAAUAUUGCACAAUGGGCGGAAGCCUGAUGCAGCAACGCCGCGUGCGGGAUGACGGCCUUCGGGUUGUAAACCGCUUUCGCCUGUGACGAAGCGUGAGUGACGGUAAUGGGUAAAGAAGCACCGGCUAACUACGUG
This 468-nucleotide ribosomal RNA is filed under the name uncultured bacterium. Its description in RNAcentral is "partial 16S ribosomal RNA". It matches the Rfam family "Bacterial small subunit ribosomal RNA", at positions 28 to 507 of the family's 1533-position model. The record is from RNAcentral.